This 253-nucleotide ribosomal RNA is filed under the name uncultured bacterium. Its description in RNAcentral is "partial 16S ribosomal RNA". It matches the Rfam family "Bacterial small subunit ribosomal RNA", at positions 524 to 776 of the family's 1533-position model. The record is from RNAcentral.
UACGUAGGGUGCAAGCGUUGUCCGGAAUUAUUGGGCGUAAAGAGCUCGUAGGCGGUUUGUCACGUCUGCUGUGAAAACCCGAGGCUCAACCUCGGGCCUGCAGUGGGUACGGGCAGACUAGAGUGCGGUAGGGGAGAUUGGAAUUCCUGGUGUAGCGGUGUAAUGCGCAGAUAUCGGGAGGAACACCAAUGGCGAAGGCAGAUAUCUGGGCCGUAACUGACGCUGAGGCGCGAAAGCAGGGGGAGCAAACAGG